UUUACCCUGCCAUGUUCGUGAUUCGAAACAAAGUCCUUGGACCGUAAUUAAAAAAAUCGGAACCUCAAAGUCUGUGGCCACCGACAGGCCUUAACUGGAAGUCAAACGCCAUCGACCCGGUUCCACCUGUUUCACCAGGCAGUUCAAAGGAGCUGUUCCACACGGCAUUACGGUGGGGUUUCU
This 183-nucleotide non-coding RNA is filed under the name Verrucomicrobiales bacterium. Its description in RNAcentral is "6S RNA". It matches the Rfam family "6S / SsrS RNA". Rfam says of the family: E. coli 6S RNA was the first non coding RNA to be sequenced, but its function was unknown until recently. It consists of 184 nucleotides that fold into an extended hairpin structure with a large single-stranded internal bulge. The record is from RNAcentral. Lineage: Bacteria; Pseudomonadati; Verrucomicrobiota; Verrucomicrobiia; Verrucomicrobiales.